CGGCAAAAUGUACGAGAAUUUACCAAGGCUACCCCGGUUUUUUAAAUAUAAUAAUGUGAAUUAAAUUGCUUCAAAAUUCAUUGAGUUCAAUAUGAAUUGAUAUAUAGAAUGAAAAAAUGAAAUUGCACUACACCGCGUCGUGUGAUGUUGCGAGUAGAUCUACGAUGAAAGAGGAAAAUAGCAGAUAGCUACAUGUGCAUGUGUUAUAUAAAUCCUCCCCCUCAUACAAAAUGCAAUUUUNGUNUUNUAUUUNCNNNNNCCCUCCUACAGGACGCCAGCAGUGAGGAAUUUUCCGCAAAUGGGGAACCCCUGAGGCAAAUAACGCCGCGUGAAAGAAGAAGGCCCUAGGGUCGUAAAGCUCUGUCAACCGGGAAGAAGUUUGGGAGUAAUUAACCCGUGUCUAUAUUGACGGUACCCUUAGAGGAAGCACCGGCUAACUCUGUGCCAGCACCCGCGGUAAUAUAGAGGGCGCGAGCGUUAUUUGGAAUUAUUGCGCGUAAAGAGCGCGUAGGCGGUCUUGUCUGUCAGUUGUGAAAUCCCGCGGCUCAACCCUGGAAGUGCAUUUCAAACAUGCCUGAGCUUUAGUGUAUGAGAGGAAAGUGGAAUUCCUGGUGUAGAGGUGAAAUUCGUAGAUAUCUGGAGGAACACCCAUGGCGAAGGCAGCUUUCUGGCCCGAUACUGACUCUGAGACGCGAAAGCGUGGGGAGCGAACAGGAUUAGAUACCCCUGGUAGUCCACCCUCAAAAGAUGUGAAGUAGGUGUAGCGGGAAUAAUGGCAAUUAGUGGCGAUGGUACGCACUAGUGUACUGCCGGAUUCGCACGAGCUAAA
Molecule: ribosomal RNA, 829 nt
Filed under: uncultured delta proteobacterium
Lineage: Bacteria; Deltaproteobacteria
Description: bacterial SSU rRNA
Rfam family: Bacterial small subunit ribosomal RNA
Source: RNAcentral